GUACCCCAAACCGACACAGGUGGUCAGGUAGAGAAUACCAAGGCGCUUGAGAGAACUCGGGUGAAGGAACUAGGCAAAAUGGUGCCGUAACUUCGGGAGAAGGCACGCUGAUGGUAGGUGAAGCGACUUGCUCAUGGAGCUGAAAUCAGUCGAAGAUACCAGCUGGCUGCAACUGUUUAUUAAAAACACAGCACUGUGCAAACACGAAAGUGGACGUAUACGGUGUGACGCCUGCCCGGUGCCGGAAGGUUAAUUGAUGGGGUUAUCCGUAAGGAGAAGCUCUUGAUCGAAGCCCCGGUAAACGGCGGCCGUAACUAUAACGGUCCUAAGGUAGCGAAAUUCCUUGUCGGGUAAGUUCCGACCUGCACGAAUGGCGUAAUGAUGGCCAGGCUGUCUCCACCCGAGACUCAGUGAAAUUGAACUCGCUGUGAAGAUGCAGUGUACCCGCGGCAAGACGGAAAGACCCCGUGAACCUUUACUAUAGCUUGACACUGAACAUUGAGCCUUGAUGUGUAGGAUAGGUGGGAGGCUUUGAAGUGUGGACGCCAGUCUGCAUGGAGCCAACCUUGAAAUACCACCCUUUAAUGUUUGAUGUUCUAACGUAGACCCGUGAUCCGGGUUGCGGACAGUGUCUGGUGGGUAGUUUGACUGGGGCGGUCUCCUCCCAAAGAGUAACGGAGGAGCACGAAGGUUAGCUAAUCCUGGUCGGACAUCAGGAGGUUAGUGCAAUGGCAUAAGCUAGCUUGACUGCGAGCGUGACGGCGCGAGCAGGUGCGAAAGCAGGUCAUAGUGAUCCGGUGGUUCUGAAUGGAAGGGCCAUCGCUCAACGGAUAAAAGGUACUCCGGGGAUAACAGGCUGAUACCGCCCAAGAGUUCAUAUCGACGGCGGUGUUUGGCACCUCGAUGUCGGCUCAUCACAUCCUGGGGCUGAAGUAGGUCCCAAGGGUAUGGCUGUUCGCCAUUUAAAGUGGUACGCGAGCUGGGUUUAGAACGUCGUGAGACAGUUCGGUCCCUAUCUGCCGUGGGCGCUGGAGAAUUGAGGGGGGCUGCUCCUAGUACGAGAGGACCGGAGUGGACGCAUCACUGGUGUUCGGGUUGUCAUGCCAAUGGCAUUGCCCGGUAGCUAAAUGCGGAAAAGAUAAGUGCUGAAAGCAUCUAAGCACGAAACUUGCCCCGAGAUGAGUUCUCCCUGACCCUUUAAGGGUCCUGAAGGAACGUUGAAGACGACGACGUUGAUAGGUCGGGUGUGUAAGCGUAGCGAUACGUUGAGCUAACCGAUACUAAUGAACCGUGAGGCUUAACCUU
This 1305-nucleotide ribosomal RNA is filed under the name Klebsiella ornithinolytica 2-156-04_S1_C2. RNAcentral describes it as "bacterial LSU rRNA". It matches the Rfam family "Bacterial large subunit ribosomal RNA", at positions 1644 to 2925 of the family's 2925-position model. Lineage: Bacteria; Pseudomonadati; Pseudomonadota; Gammaproteobacteria; Enterobacterales; Enterobacteriaceae. The record is from RNAcentral.